AUUAAACGCUGGCGGCAUGCCUUACACAUGCAAGUCGAACGGUAACGGGUCCUUCGGGAUGCCGACGAGUGGCGAACGGGUGAGUAAUAUAUCGGAACGUGCCCAGUAGUGGGGGAUAACUGCUCGAAAGAGCAGCUAAUACCGCAUACGACCUGAGGGUGAAAGGGGGGGAUCGCAAGACCUCUCGCUAUUGGAGCGGCCGAUAUCAGAUUAGCUAGUUGGUGGGGUAAAGGCCUACCAAGGCAACGAUCUGUAGUUGGUCUGAGAGGACGACCAGCCACACUGGGACUGAGACACGGCCCAGACUCCUACGGGAGGCAGCAGUGGGGAAUUUUGGACAAUGGGCGCAAGCCUGAUCCAGCAAUGCCGCGUGCAGGAAGAAGGCCUUCGGGUUGUAAACUGCUUUUGUCAGGGAAGAAAUCUUCUGGGCUAAUACCCCGGGAGGAUGACGGUACCUGAAGAAUAAGCACCGGCUAACUACGUGCCAGCAGCAGCCGCCG
RNAcentral lists this ribosomal RNA (500 nucleotides) under uncultured bacterium. RNAcentral's name for it is "partial 16S ribosomal RNA". It matches the Rfam family "Bacterial small subunit ribosomal RNA", at positions 30 to 523 of the family's 1533-position model. The record is from RNAcentral.